Molecule: long non-coding RNA, 1583 nt
Filed under: Calidris pugnax (ruff)
Lineage: Eukaryota; Metazoa; Chordata; Aves; Charadriiformes; Scolopacidae
Description: lncRNA (ENSCPUG00000014015.1)
Source: RNAcentral
GGCUUUGCAGGGACACCGCAGCCACGGGCCUGGUCCUGCUCCCCAUCUCUUAAUGCAAAAACCACCCUCCGUUACAAAAAGGUGACCGUAUAUUACCAUGUGCAGUAAAUACAGAAUAGUUGGGCGUUCAAAUUUCAUUGGGGUUCCCUCUCCUCGGCCACAGCUCUGAAGAGGAACACGUCCCUGCUGUACGUUGCUGUAACUCCCUGCCAUUCCUGCCCCUCUCAGGAGAAACACCAGUCUCGACUCCACGAGUGUUUCAGCAGCAGAGCCUGUUUCUGACAGCGCAUCAACAGCACGGAGCAAAUUGUGACAGAUAGAAGCAGAGUUCUAGCUAUAAAGCGCUCACUCAGCCUGAAUGUACAGAGAGUACCAUCACACAGACACAGCCCAAAGUGGAAACUGCGUAUUAACCUCAUCGGUCCACGUCUCCAGGGCAAAGCACCAGUGUCCCCAACAGCCUGGUGGUUACAGCCCAGAGCAGAGCUCAGCGGAUCAAGCAAGGGGGGCCCUGAAGCGAAGAAGGUUGAGUCCUACGAAGGUGCCCUGCAAUUCCAUCCAACCAACCUCACCUAAGCACUGACUCAGCAUCCUCCAACCCCAGGAACUGCUCUGGCAUGGAAUUCCUCUGAGCCAGCUGGGAACGUGUGUGGGAUUUUGUUAUUUGUUGAGAUCCUGCUUUUGAGGGAGCUGAAGACAGUAACAAUACUCUGAAUUGAAUCCAGACACGUGUCUAUCUUGUUGCCCAUACGGUCAAUUUUCCAGCUGGGCUGAUGUCAACCAGACUCACUGUGACGUGGAUACAACCUGCUCCAAAAACUGAUAGUUCUGAUCCAAUGGCCACUAACAGCCAUCUGGAUGCAACUCUAAUCUGGGAAAAAAAACCCAUGAAUUUGUGCUCCACAUUGCUAUACAAUUUCAAGGCCUUUUACCAUCUCAUACCUUAAAAUAAGCACGUGAUUUGGCACCUAAAAACAGGCAGUUUGUUCUGCAUCCAGUUCACUGGAAAUGCAUAUGGAGCCAGUCUAUGCUUUUAAGUCACUUGGACACAAAUGCAAUACUUUGCUGACUUUGUUGAGACACACACAGCCUAAUCUAUCAGAGCUUCUACUGUGACAGCUUAUCACAGUUCCUAAACCUGGAUAAUCCACACCACAGUAAGCAUUUUUAUAGCCCUAAGCUUUCUUUCCAUAUCAGCAUAAUUAAAGCAGCAACCUUUGUAAGGACAGUCAGCACAUUCUGUCAUGAGUUUCCUUCUUGCUCUCUGCUUAGAUCAGUGUUCUCUGAUUGGAGGGAGGGAAAGGGGAAAAAAAAAUAAGAGGUAUUUAUUAUUAGGGCAAAAUCUAAAGAGAUGGAGAAUAACAUUAUUUCUCAUCACAUUUGAGGAUUAUCAGUUACACUGAACAGACCUCAACCUUCUGACAGGCCACGCAAUUCAAAGAACAACAAAAUGCAAGCAUUGCUGAAAACCUGCACCUUGUAACAUUUGAGAAGCCACAGAAAGUGACACUUUCUCCUCUCCAUAUGAAUUUAACUGCUGCUAAACCUUCCUUACUUUGCAAAAGCUUUUCCAUACACCUUCA